RNAcentral lists this ribosomal RNA (492 nucleotides) under uncultured bacterium. Its description in RNAcentral is "bacterial SSU rRNA". It matches the Rfam family "Bacterial small subunit ribosomal RNA", at positions 8 to 507 of the family's 1533-position model. The record is from RNAcentral.
AGAGUUUGAUCCUGGCUCAGAUUGAACGCUGGCGGUAUGCCUAACACAUGCAAGUCGAACGAGGUAGCAAUACCUAGUGGCGGACGGGUGAGGAAUACGUAGGGAUCUGCCCUUAAGUGGGGGGAUAACCCGGGGAAACCCGGAUUAAUACCGCAUGAUCUCGCAAGAGCAAAGAGGGGGACCGCAAGGCCUCUCGCUUUUGGAGGAACCUACGUCGGAUUAGCUAGUUGGUGAGGUAAUGGCUCACCAAGGCGACGAUCCGUAACUGGUCUGAGAGGAUGAUCAGUCACACCGGAACUGAGACACGGUCCGGACUCCUACGGGAGGCAGCAGUGGGGAAUAUUGGACAAUGGGCGAAAGCCUGAUCCAGCAAUACCGCGUGUGUGAAGAAGGCCUUCGGGUUGUAAAGCACUUUAAGUUGGGAAGAAAAAGCUUCACCUAAUACGUGAAGCCUUGACGGUACCGACAGAAUAAGCACCGGCUAACUCUGUG